This 405-nucleotide ribosomal RNA is filed under the name uncultured bacterium. Its description in RNAcentral is "partial 16S ribosomal RNA". It matches the Rfam family "Bacterial small subunit ribosomal RNA", at positions 30 to 526 of the family's 1533-position model. The record is from RNAcentral.
AUUGAACGCUAGCGGGAGGCUUGACACAUGCAAGUCGAACGAGUGGCGGACGGGUGAGUAAUAUAUCGGAACGUGCCCAGUAGCGGGGGAUAACUACUCGAAAGAGUGGCUAAUACCGAAUACGAUUGGAGCGGCCGAUAUCGGCUUAGCUAGUUGGUGGGGUAAAGGCUCACAAAGGCAACGAUCCGUAGCUGGUUUGAGAGGACGACCAGCCACCCUGGAACUGAGACACGGCCCAGACUCCUACGGGAGGCAGCAGUGGGGAAUUUUGGACAAUGGGGUAAACCCUGAUCCAGCCAUCCCGCGUGUAUGAGAAGGCCUUCGGGUUGUAAAGUACUUUUGGCGGAGAAGCGGUAUCUGCAGAAUAAGCACCGGCUAACUACGUGCCAGCCGCCGCGGUAAUUC